ACGGAUGAACUGGAGGGUGAUGUCAUCAAAACCUUCGUCUCUGGAGGACCGAAAAACUAUGCAUACCAGACGGCCACUGGGAAAACCUGCUGCAAAGUCCGAGGAUUUUCCUUGAACUUCCGGAAUUCUCAGUUGCUGAAUUUUGAAAGUAUGAAACGGUUGGUCUGCAGCCUCGACCGAAGUGAGAUCAUCUCUCUCCACAACCCCUCCAAAAUCACCCGAGAAGCGAAGAGAAGAAAGGUGAUGAAUAAACCCGAGACAAAAAUGUACAGAAUUGUAUUAGACAAACGGGUAAUUCAAAAAGACUUGAGCACAUUGCCGUAUGGUAUAUUGAAGAAGAACUUUUUAUGUUUAUGUUAGAACCUUAUCUGAAAAUGAAAUUUUGUAUGUAAAUAUAUAUAUAUAUGUGUGUGCAGAAUCAUGCAUUUGUAUGUGUAUAAAAGAAAACUUAUUUAGAAAAAAAAAAAAAAAAAAAAUAAACAGAAGUUUGAAUGAUAAAA
This 500-nucleotide long non-coding RNA is filed under the name Stegodyphus dumicola. Its description in RNAcentral is "uncharacterized LOC118187167". Lineage: Eukaryota; Metazoa; Arthropoda; Arachnida; Araneae; Eresidae. The record is from RNAcentral.